UACGAAAAUCUUUAUGUGUGUAUAUAAUGCCCAGUUGGAUACAGGAAGUCUACUCUUGAAGGGAGCUACGUAUCACUGAUAAGUUUUGUGUGACUUCAGGCUUUCCCCUCUGCUGGGCCAGGAAGUGAUUCGGGAACAAUUCUGCGGUGCCCCUUGUUAACUGAAGCAUCCUAGCACACAUUCACACCAUCUAAGAUGUUAAACAUAUUUGACCAGCCUACAUGCCAAUCCUUGGUGCCAUACGUGACUCAGAACGCCUAAUACUUACCAUAUUUGCCCAAGCAGCUAUAGCAUCUAGAUCCAGUCAAAACUGUCCACCAAUUUAGUUCCUACAGGAUUGUCAUGGGGGCACAGUACAGGGUAGGGGGGUAGUCUUUCUCUCAGGUGCCUGAACACUGCUUCAGUGCAGGAUCUCUAACUGGCAUUUUGAUACUUCUUGGAGAUCAAAGGAAUGCGUGUGAGAUGGACUUGUUUUUAAAGAGUCCCUCCAUUGUUCCUGAUUAGACAGUUGACCAGUCUUCAGUGUAGGAACUAGAAUUGGAGAGAGGCAUGAUGGGAACAAGUUAGCCAUAGAGAUUAAAUUACACAAAGGUUUCUGGGAUGACUGUCAGACAAAAAGCAUGUUCAGAAAGGUUGAAAUGGAGAGUUGCUAAAAUUAUAGAUUUUAAUGUAGUUUAUUCCUGCCCUUUGCCCUCAAUCCCUAGUAAAAGCAUAAGGGGGCAUGUUGGUGACAUCCAGAGACUAUAGGUGACAGUAAAGGUGAGGACAUACUCCGUCAAGCUUAGGAAAUCAGAACAAGGCUUAUAAAGAACAGACAAGCCAAGACACGGACUGGUUAGCAGAUCCACUGGCACCUCGGAAAGAGAGGGAAAGCAACCUUGACUCUGGGCACACUGCCUCUGACCCCAAAGGUACUGGUUUAGGCACGAGCCCAGUCUUCAGACGUCACUCUACCCCCAACCCUCACAGCCAUUGCACUAGUGAUAAUGCAUGGGCUGAUUUUUGGUACCCGGAAGGCAAUGUGAUGAGGAAAUGGAUGUAUCUAAAGCACUUGCCUUCUUGUUCCUGAACAUAGGGACUCACUAGCAGAGGCCUUCUGGACUUGGGGAGCCUCAUAGGCAGGUGGCCUUGCCCCUGACUUUUUUUUAGCCACUGCAUGAGGAAACAACAGCCCUCUCUCCACUUCUGCUAGAAUAUAGAGGAAAUGAAUCACCUGUAAACUUUGUCCCCAUUACCAACCCAGUCCGUGGAAGCAGAGCCACCUCCCUGGGAAGCAUGAGAAAGGACACCUGAGGACUAGAGGUUUGUAGAGCUUGCUAAGGUCAGAGUCCAGUAUAGUCUCCCUGCCUUGCACUGGCUGGUUCUGGAACACUGUCUGCUCUGAUUGUGAGGGGAGAGUUCCUACACAUGGAAAGCCUGCUAGUCCCUGCUGCUUUUUAUUAACCCAAGCCUCCUGGGAGGAACAUAGGUCAUUCAUUUAGCCUCGCUGCUAGGAACACCCACCACACACACACCCUCACUGAGCAUCCCUGCCUUUAGCUAAGCAGGGCCAGGCGGGAAGGGCAGCUACCUUGAUCCUGAUAAACUAGGAAGCAAGAGCAGAAACCACUGCAGGCUGAAAGAGGGCAAGGAGGACAGUGUGCCACAGCCACCCACCCCCACGUCUACUGUUUAUUUGGUUCUCUUUUUUAUCUUGAGAUAGGGCUUCAUUGUAGCCCAAGCUAGCCUUGAACUUGAUAUGUGGCUGAAGAUGGUUUUGAAUUUCUGGUCCUUCUGAUUUCUAAAAUUUCUACAUACUUGCCUUUUUCUAACAUCACAGAGAUAUUUGUAAAAGCCCAAAGAACUACGCGCUAACACAAACAGGAACUAUAUACUACUAACACAGGGAGAUUUGGACUAGAGAGAUAGUACAAUCAUUAAAGUGUUUGCCCUGCUGUGCAGGCGUGAAGACAUGAGACGCAGAACCCAUGUUACACACACACACACACACACACACAUGUGUGUGCUGAUAUCCUCUGUAAUUCCUGUUGGAGAAACAGAGAUAGGUUUGUCCCUGGAACUUGCUGACCAGCUUACUGGCCUAAUGGGUGAACAUUCCACCAGUUAAGAGACCCUUUCUGAAAAAGCAGGGUAAAUGACACAUGAGAAAUGGCAUUCAGAGUGGACCUUUGGCAUCCACAUCCAUGCACACAUGUGUGUCCUUGCACGUACACAUACAAACACAUCCACACGUCAUGGGAAAACAGACAUGAAAGAUUGGUAGGAAGCAUGUUCUUUUACCCUAGUAAAUGAUGCUUUCUUAAACCUGAAUUUUUAAAAAAGUGAACUCGAGCUACGUGAAAAAAUGCUCUUACAGCAUUUUUCUUGAAGCCUUAGAGUCACCCCAGUGUCUUAUCAAGAGAUUGGGUAGUUAAAAAACGAUGCUGACCUAUGAUAAGAUAUUACGACACUGCUAUUUCAGAGGAUGAAGUACAUUAAAUCUCUCCAAGAUAGGGAAGAAAAGCUGCGUUCCAAAGAAUGAUUUGUUCCCAUGCAUGCAGAUUUAUUUGGGACAUCAGGACCAGGCAUGAGAGAUUGCUGGCUGAGAAGUCCUCUGAAAGGACCUUAGUGCUAAGGGAGGGGCACAGGGAGACUUCACCGAUGGUGUGGACCACUAUUGCAGUUUGCAGUUUGUUUGCUGUGAGUAUGCCAUGUAAAGAAAUAGAAAAGAAUAGAAAG
RNAcentral lists this long non-coding RNA (2718 nucleotides) under Mus musculus (house mouse). RNAcentral describes it as "long non-coding RNA chr8:36136230-36138948". Lineage: Eukaryota; Metazoa; Chordata; Mammalia; Rodentia; Muridae. The record is from RNAcentral.